This 73-nucleotide transfer RNA is filed under the name Pteropus alecto (black flying fox). It matches the Rfam family "tRNA". Rfam says of the family: Transfer RNA (tRNA) molecules are approximately 80 nucleotides in length. Their secondary structure includes four short double-helical elements and three loops (D, anti-codon, and T loops). Further hydrogen bonds mediate the characteristic L-shaped molecular structure. tRNAs have two regions of fundamental functional importance: the anti-codon, which is responsible for specific mRNA codon recognition, and the 3' end, to which the tRNAs corresponding amino acid is attached (by aminoacyl-tRNA synthetases). tRNAs cope with the degeneracy of the genetic code in two manners: having more than one tRNA (with a specific anti-codon) for a particular amino acid; and 'wobble' base-pairing, i.e. permitting non-standard base-pairing at the 3rd anti-codon position. Lineage: Eukaryota; Metazoa; Chordata; Mammalia; Chiroptera; Pteropodidae. The record is from Rfam by way of RNAcentral.
GGUUCCAUGGCGUAGCAGUUAGCACGUCUGCUUUACACGCAGUAGGUCUUGGGUUCAUUCCCCAGUGGAGCCA